This 350-nucleotide unclassified non-coding RNA is filed under the name uncultured fungus. RNAcentral describes it as "sequence contains ITS1". The stretch from base 1 to 105 matches the Rfam family "5.8S ribosomal RNA", at positions 50 to 154 of the family's 154-position model. Lineage: Eukaryota; Fungi. The record is from RNAcentral.
CAACUGCGAUAACUAGUGUGAACUGCAGAUAUUUUGAACACUAAGAUUUCGAAUGCACAUUGCGCCAUGGGAAUUUUAUCCCUUGGCACAUCUGGUUCAGGGUCGUUUUUGUCUAAAGCAAAUGCUUUCAUAGUGAAACCGCGAACAGUUGCAUGAUCACUUUGCUAUUAGCUUAGCGUGGUGUUCAUGCAUAGUGGAGAAUAAGUCCAUUCUUGCCCUUGACUCAGCGGGCAGGCCCUUGGCGUGGCAUUGUAGCUUCUAAGCCGCCCUCGGAGUUUGUGUUGUUGAGUCAAUAGUUGCGCAAUUGCUAUUUCGACCUGAACUCAGGUGUGAGCACCUGCUGAACUUAA